RNAcentral lists this ribosomal RNA (274 nucleotides) under uncultured bacterium. RNAcentral describes it as "partial 16S ribosomal RNA". It matches the Rfam family "Bacterial small subunit ribosomal RNA", at positions 523 to 796 of the family's 1533-position model. The record is from RNAcentral.
AUACGGAGGGUGCAAGCGUUACUCGGAAUCACUGGGCGUAAAGGAUGCGUAGGCUGGAUGUCAAGUUGGAAGUGAAAUCCUAUGGCUUAACCAUAGAACUGCUUCCAAAACAGGUAACCUAGAGUGAGGGAGAGGCAGAUGGAAUUAGUGGUGUAGGGGUAAAAUCCGUAGAUAUCACUAGGAAUACCGAUUGCGAAGGCGAUCUGCUAGAACUCUACUGACGCUAAGGCAUGAAAGCGUGGGGAGCAAACAGGAUUAGAAACCCCAGUAGUCC